Molecule: ribosomal RNA, 226 nt
Filed under: Escherichia coli
Lineage: Bacteria; Pseudomonadati; Pseudomonadota; Gammaproteobacteria; Enterobacterales; Enterobacteriaceae
Description: partial 23S ribosomal RNA
Rfam family: Bacterial large subunit ribosomal RNA
Source: RNAcentral
CGGGUUGUCAUGCCAAUGGCACUGCCCGGUAGCUAAAUGCGGAAGAGAUAAGUGCUGAAAGCAUCUAAGCACGAAACUUGCCCCGAGAUGAGUUCUCCCUGACUCCUUGAGAGUCCUGAAGGAACGUUGAAGACGACGACGUUGAUAGGCCGGGUGUGUAAGCGCAGCGAUGCGUUGAGCUAACCGGUACUAAUGAACCGUGAGGCUUAACCUUACAACGCCGAAG